Molecule: non-coding RNA, 96 nt
Organism: Tinamus guttatus (white-throated tinamou)
Lineage: Eukaryota; Metazoa; Chordata; Aves; Tinamiformes; Tinamidae
Source: RefSeq, a predicted model, not a curated record
AGUGCCUGCCACACAGUUGCACAUAAAAUUCCCCUCACUUCCAGCAAGACUUGUGUAAGCAAAACACUAGGGUAGAUUUCUCGCAGGAAAUUACAG